AUUGAACAGAAGUGUCCCAAAUAGGACGAAAUGCGCAUCCUGUAU
Molecule: non-coding RNA, 45 nt
Filed under: Trichobilharzia regenti
Lineage: Eukaryota; Metazoa; Platyhelminthes; Trematoda; Strigeidida; Schistosomatidae
Source: RNAcentral